Molecule: long non-coding RNA, 736 nt
Organism: Tupaia belangeri chinensis (Chinese tree shrew)
Lineage: Eukaryota; Metazoa; Chordata; Mammalia; Scandentia; Tupaiidae
Exons: 3
Source: RefSeq, a predicted model, not a curated record
CGAAAAGUUAUCCACGGUGCCACUGGGAGCCAAGGUGUAGCCUGCACGAGACACGCGUGGCGUCAGACACCGCAGGGGAAGAGGAGGAAGGCGCCGGGAGGGUAACUUGGCAGAAAACAUUGCCAUUUUAAUGAAAAUAGCAUGAGGAGACUUCGAUUGCCUAAAAUUAAAACAGCAGCAACAGAAAGAUGCCAAGACUCGUGUUAAUACGGCAAAAAAUAAAGUGAAAAACACAGAGACAGCAAGAUGGGCACCCCUGACAGACCUACCGCUGCGGUCCGCGCCAGUCAGCCCAGUCACGGGCACACACCCCUGGGGUCUCAGGGAGCUGUUGGAUCAGGACCUGGGGCCUCCCCCCGCCAGCCUCACGGAGCACCGCGUUUCAUGGCCAGGCCACCGUCCAGCCUGGCAGUCACUACCUUCAGUGUGCAGCACGUUACGCAAUGAGCAAGGGAGACAGACGACCCGAGACGGCUGGGCUAAGGUUGAAGUGGCACAGCUGAGGUCACCAGCUAAAAGAACGCAGGUUCAUGGUGGAACGAGUUUCACUACCGCUCCCUGCACGCGCACAGGGAGUGUCAGAGCCCCAGGAGGAACGCAGGCGGCCACAAGCCCUGGGACAGACUUGGAGAGUGACCUGGAGCUGGAAGAGCCAGCACGGAUUCAUACUGCCCAAGGCGGCCACGACAGAAAGGGCAGGACACCCACAGAGGAGCCGCUGCUGGGCGUUGUCCAA